CGGACGGGUGAGUAAUGUCUGGGAAACUGCCCGAUGGAGGGGGAUAACUACUGGAAACGGUAGCUAAUACCGCAUAACGUCGCAAGACCAAAGAGGGGGACCUUGGGCCUCUUGCCAUCGGAUGUGCCCAGAUGGGAUUAGCUAGUAGGUGGGGUAACGGCUCACCUAGGCGACGAUCCCUAGCUGGUCUGAGAGGAUGACCAGCCACACUGGAACUGAGACACGGCCAG
This 230-nucleotide ribosomal RNA is filed under the name uncultured bacterium. Its description in RNAcentral is "partial 16S ribosomal RNA". It matches the Rfam family "Bacterial small subunit ribosomal RNA", at positions 99 to 334 of the family's 1533-position model. The record is from RNAcentral.